RNAcentral lists this ribosomal RNA (489 nucleotides) under uncultured bacterium. RNAcentral's name for it is "bacterial SSU rRNA". It matches the Rfam family "Bacterial small subunit ribosomal RNA", at positions 28 to 507 of the family's 1533-position model. The record is from RNAcentral.
GACGAACGCUAGCGAUAGGCCUAACACAUGCAAGUCGAGGGGCAUCACAUGAAGUAGCAAUACGGAUGGUGGCGACCGGCGCACGGGUGAGUAACACGUAUGCAACCUGCCUUCAACAAGGGGAUAACCCGUUGAAAGACGGACUAAUACCCUAUAACACAGGGGUCCCGCAUGGGAAUAUUUGUUAAAGGACAACCGGUUGAAGAUGGGCAUGCGUUCCAUUAGCUAGUUGGCGGGUAACGGCCCACCAAGGCAACGAUGGAUAGGGGAACUGAGAGGUUUAUCCCCCACACUGGUACUGAGACACGGACCAGACUCCUACGGGAGGCAGCAGUGAGGAAUAUUGGUCAAUGGACGCAAGUCUGAACCAGCCACGUCGCGUGAAGGAAGACGGCCCUACGGGUUGUAAACUUCUUUUAUACGGGAAUAAAGUGCCCCACGCGUGGGGUUUUGCAUGUACCGUAUGAAUAAGGAUCGGCUAACUCCGUG